RNAcentral lists this ribosomal RNA (254 nucleotides) under uncultured bacterium. RNAcentral describes it as "partial 16S ribosomal RNA". It matches the Rfam family "Bacterial small subunit ribosomal RNA", at positions 524 to 776 of the family's 1533-position model. The record is from RNAcentral.
UACGUAGGGGGCAAGCGUUGUCCGGAUUUAUUGGGCGUAAAGAGCUCGUAGGUGGUUCGGUAAGUCGGAUGCGAAAUCUCCAGGCUCAACCUGGAGGGGUCAUUCGAUACUGCCGUGACUAGAGUUCGGUAGGGGAGUGUGGAAUUCCUGGUGGAGCGGUGAAAUGCGCAGAUAUCAGGAGGAACACCGGUGGCGAAGGCGGAUCUCUGGGCCAUUACUGACGCUGAGGAGCGAAAGCGUGGGGAGCGAACAGG